Molecule: non-coding RNA, 78 nt
Filed under: Candidatus Acetothermia bacterium
Lineage: Bacteria; Candidatus Bipolaricaulota
Description: Acetothermia bacterium c-di-GMP sequence
Rfam family: c-di-GMP-I riboswitch aptamer
About the family: GEMM was predicted in a large-scale screen for bacterial structured RNA regulatory elements.
Source: RNAcentral
GGUCGAAAGGGCAAACCCGGGGCGACCCGGGGGCGCAAAGCCGACGGGCCUCGAUGAGAGGUGGCCGGGCUGCCGAAA